AUGACAAUGAACCAUCAGUUGUCUGCCACAUUAGUGAGUUUGUUAUGGAGAAUUUGAUACCCCUGCACAUGAGGAGGGCAAGUAGGCGAGCAGUGUUUUUGGCGUCAUCCAGUCCACAAUGAGCACGCCCUUGCCAUGCUAGGCCUGCCAUCUCCACAGCCUCCUUUAGAUUGCACCUAACACCACCAAAUACCUCACAGAAAGGAACUUUCAAGUUGAUCCACCGAUUAAAGUAAGGGGGCUUCCUGAUCUUCUUAAAUCG
Molecule: unclassified non-coding RNA, 262 nt
Filed under: Hevea brasiliensis (rubber tree)
Lineage: Eukaryota; Viridiplantae; Streptophyta; Magnoliopsida; Malpighiales; Euphorbiaceae
Source: RNAcentral